This is a non-coding RNA of Camellia sinensis, 394 nucleotides long. Lineage: Eukaryota; Viridiplantae; Streptophyta; Magnoliopsida; Ericales; Theaceae. The record is from RefSeq and is a predicted model, not a curated record.
UCAGCUUUAGUGUAUUGUCUCUUGUAGGUUUGGAAAAGAUUCACACAGUUUGAGCAAACUUUGGAAAAGAUUCACCCAGCUUUAGUGUAUUUUCUUUAUUUUUUUGGUUGAACAAAAAAGGAAAGAAGCGCUUUCCAGAACAGGCGAAGAGAGUCAAUCAGCUUUAGAGAGUUCAUUACAAGAUGUUGUAUCACGUUAUAGUUUCAUGGAUCUUUGGCCUUGCUCUUCUAAGGAUAUGGAUCAUUUGGCACGGCAAGAGUGAUUGUAGGUAUUCGGAGUUUACUAUGCAGAGUUGGAUCCAAUUUGGCGCUGUCUUAUAGAGGUUUCUUGGAUUGAAAUUACAUAUUUGUAAUUAUAUAUUUGUAAAUCGAUUAUAAGCUCAACAAAAUAGUCU